This 353-nucleotide ribosomal RNA is filed under the name Cafius sabulosus. RNAcentral's name for it is "partial 12S ribosomal RNA". Lineage: Eukaryota; Metazoa; Arthropoda; Insecta; Coleoptera; Staphylinidae. The record is from RNAcentral.
UAAAAAUGUAAAUUUGAAAACUUAAUGAUUAAUAGUUAUGUUCUUUAAAGUUAAAGAAUUUGGCGGUAUUUUAGUCUAUUUAGAGGAACCUGUUCUAUAAUUGAUAGUCCACGAUUUAUUUUACUUACUUUAAAUUAGUUUAUAUACCGUCGUAGUUUGAAUAUUUUAAAAGAAUAUAAAUAUUCAAGAUUUUUAAUAAUAAAAAAUGUCAGAUCAAGGUGUAGCUUAUAAGUGAGAAGAAAUGGGUUACAAUAAAUUUAUUUAAAUGGAUUAAAUUUUGAAAAAAUUUAUUAAAGUGGAUUUAAAAGUAAUAAAGUUAAAUUAAAUUUUAUGAUUUUAGCUCUAAAAUAUGU